GUAGGUGGCAAGCGUUGUCCGGAAUUAUUGGGCGUAAAGCGCGCGCAGGCGGUCCUUUAAGUCUGAUGUGAAAGCCCACGGCUCAACCGUGGAGGGUCAUUGGAAACUGGGGGACUUGAGUACAGAAGAGGAAAGCGGAAUUUCAAGUGUAGCGGUGAAAUGCGUAGAGAUUUGGAGGAACACCAGUGGCGAAGGCGGCUUUCUGGUCUGUAACUGACGCUGAGGCGCGAAAGCGUGGGGAGCAAACAGGGAUUAGAUACCCUGGUAGUCCACGCCGUAAACGAUGAGUGCUAAGUGUUAGGGGGUUUCCCGCCCCUUAGUGCUGCAGCUAACGCAUUAAGCACUCCGCCUGGGGAGUACGGCCGCAAGGCUG
Molecule: ribosomal RNA, 373 nt
Filed under: uncultured organism
Description: partial 16S ribosomal RNA
Rfam family: Bacterial small subunit ribosomal RNA
Source: RNAcentral